UCAUUUUCUAAUUUUCAGCCCAAU
Molecule: non-coding RNA, 24 nt
Filed under: Arabidopsis thaliana (thale cress)
Lineage: Eukaryota; Viridiplantae; Streptophyta; Magnoliopsida; Brassicales; Brassicaceae
Source: RNAcentral